Molecule: long non-coding RNA, 671 nt
Organism: Ipomoea nil (Japanese morning glory)
Lineage: Eukaryota; Viridiplantae; Streptophyta; Magnoliopsida; Solanales; Convolvulaceae
Exons: 3
Source: RefSeq, a predicted model, not a curated record
UCUCUUUCUCUCCAUUCCUCAGCCGUUCAUACUUUCUUCCCAUAAACAGCCAGAAUCACCAUCUCCCUCUAUCUCACCUCAUCACGGCAGCCGCCAUCCUUCACUUUCCUAUCCAUUUUCCUUCCGGCAGAGCCUCAACAGUCCAACAACUCGAUUAUUUCCCGCGAUCGAGCUUGUUGAUUGUGAUGUAUACAUAGUUGAUAGUGAAAUAAUGAAGAAUUUAUGAUGAUGACGGAGUUAUAGAUUAAGAUGGUGAAACGGAAAUGAUGAUGCCGAUGAUAGGAUGAUGAUAGAUGGUGAAACGGAAAUGAAGCAGAUGCCGUCAAGAUGGUGAUGGUUUCUUUUCAUGGUGGCUAGAAUGCUAUUUUAAGUGUUGAUAUGAAUUUUGGACUUCGAGGGUGAACAUGGAUAAAGGAAUUUGAGAUGAAUUCAAGUUGAGCAGGAAUUAAAUUGACUCAUUGGAGAUUUUAUAUUUUGAGAGUAAAUGAUUGUAAUGUUAUUUGCAAUUUAUGUAUUAAGUUGAAUUUGGAUUAUUGAAUUUAAGUUGUAUUAUUAGCCUUAGCGUUCGGGUAUAGGAGAGAUACCUGAGCGUGGCGGUAACACCCAUUUCUUUUGGUUAGUUAAUGCUUCCGAUAUGUUAUUAGUGAAUAUUUCAGUUAAGAAAGAUUAAA